This 253-nucleotide ribosomal RNA is filed under the name uncultured bacterium. Its description in RNAcentral is "partial 16S ribosomal RNA". It matches the Rfam family "Bacterial small subunit ribosomal RNA", at positions 524 to 776 of the family's 1533-position model. The record is from RNAcentral.
UACGUAGGGUGCAAGCGUUGUCCGGAAUUAUUGGGCGUAAAGAGCUUGUAGGCGGUUUGUCGCGUCUGCUGUGAAAUUUCGGGGCUCAACCCCGAACUUGCAGUGGGUACGGGCAGACUAGAGUGUGGUAGGGGAGACUGGAAUUCCUGGUGUAGCGGUGAAAUGCGCAGAUAUCAGGAGGAACACCGAUGGCGAAGGCAGGUCUCUGGGCCACAACUGACGCUGAGGAGCGAAAGCAUGGGGAGCGAACAGG